RNAcentral lists this ribosomal RNA (444 nucleotides) under uncultured bacterium. Its description in RNAcentral is "bacterial SSU rRNA". It matches the Rfam family "Bacterial small subunit ribosomal RNA", at positions 29 to 524 of the family's 1533-position model. The record is from RNAcentral.
AACGAACGCUGGCGGCAGGCUUAACACAUGCAAGUCGAACGCCCGCAAGGGAGUGGCAGACGGGUGAGUAACACGUGGGAACGUGCCCUUCGCUUCGGGAUAGCCUCGGGAAACUGGAGUAAUACCGAAUACGCCGUAUUGGGAAAGAUAUAUCGGCGAAGGAUCGGCCCGCGUUGGAUUAGCUAGUUGGCGGUGUAAUGGACCACCAAGGCUACGAUCCAUAGCUGGUCUGAGAGGACGACCAGCCACACUGGGACUGAGACACGGCCCAGACUCCUACGGGAGGCAGCAGUGGGGAAUCUUGGACAAUGGGCGCAAGCCUGAUCCAGCCAUGCCGCGUGAGUGAAGAAGGCCUUAGGGUUGUAAAACUCUUUCGCCGGUGAAGAUAAUGACGGUAACCGGAGAAGAAGCCCCGGCUAACUUCGUGCCAGCAGCCGCGGUAAU